CAGCCGCCGCGGGAAUACGUAGGGUGCAAGCGUUAAUCGGAAUUACUGGGCGUAAAGCGUGCGCAGGCGGUUUGUUAAGACAGAUGUGAAAUCCCCGGGCUCAACCUGGGAACUGCAUUUGUGACUGGCAGGCUAGAGUAUGGCAGAGGGGGGUGGAAUUCCGCGUGUAGCAGUGAAAUGCGUAGAUAUGCGGAGGAACACCGAUGGCGAAGACAGCCCCCUGGGCCAAUACUGACGCUCAUGCACGAAAGCGUGGGGAGCAAACAGGAUUAGAUACCCGGGUAGUCCCUGUCUCUUAUAC
This 301-nucleotide ribosomal RNA is filed under the name uncultured bacterium. Its description in RNAcentral is "partial 16S ribosomal RNA". It matches the Rfam family "Bacterial small subunit ribosomal RNA", at positions 509 to 807 of the family's 1533-position model. The record is from RNAcentral.